RNAcentral lists this ribosomal RNA (253 nucleotides) under uncultured bacterium. Its description in RNAcentral is "partial 16S ribosomal RNA". It matches the Rfam family "Bacterial small subunit ribosomal RNA", at positions 29 to 279 of the family's 1533-position model. The record is from RNAcentral.
AUUAACGCUAGCGGCAGGCAUAAUACAUGCAAGUUGAACGGCAGCACAGGUAGCAAUACUGGGUGGCGAGUGGCGCACGGGUGCGUAACACGUAUGCAACCUACCCUAUACAGGCGAAUAACCUUUAGAAAUGAGGGCUAAUACGCCGUAGUAUUACAGAUGGGCAUCUAUUUGUAAUUAAAGAUUUAUCGGUAUAGGAUGGGCAUGCGUCCCAUUAGUUAGUUGGUAAGGUAACGGCUUACCAAGACAAUGA